CCUACGGGAGGCAGCAGUGAGGAAUAUUGGUCAAUGGACGAGAGUCUGAACCAGCCAAGUCGCGUGAAGGAUGACUGCCCUACGGGUUGUAAACUUCUUUUAUAUGGGAGUAAAAAGUGACACGUGUGGGGUUUUGUAUGUACCCUAUGAAUAAGCAUCGGCUAACUCCGUGCCAGCAGCCGCGGUAAUACGGAGGAUCCGAGCGUUAUCCGGAUUUAUUGGGUUGAAAGGGAGCGGAGGUGGAUUGUUAAGUCAGUUGUGAAAGUUUGCGGCUCAACCGUAAAAUUGCAGUUGAAACUGGCAGUCUUGAGUACAGUAGAGGUAGGCGGAAUUCGUGGUGUAGCGGUGAAAUGCUUAGAUAUCACGAAGAACUCCGAUUGCGAAGGCAGCUUACUGGACUGCAACUGACACUGAGGCUCGAAAGUGUGGGUAUCAAACAGGAUUAGAUACCCGAGUAGUC
RNAcentral lists this ribosomal RNA (460 nucleotides) under uncultured bacterium. RNAcentral describes it as "partial 16S ribosomal RNA". It matches the Rfam family "Bacterial small subunit ribosomal RNA", at positions 338 to 795 of the family's 1533-position model. The record is from RNAcentral.